GUGAUUGGUCUACACAGUCGUUUAUGUCUUCCGUUUCUCUCCUCCCCGCGAAACCCAAUAGUCUCCGGCUCUUUUCUUCUCCGCGAAACCAUACGCCUUCGGUCUGUGUGCAUACCAACAAUCUCAAUGGUUGGUUCUUCUUCCAAGCGGCCCAAGCGGUUUAGAAGGAGUUCGUCCGGUGGUGAUCCAGGGAACAAUGUUGAAGUUAAUCAAAAUGUGAUGCUCAGCCAAAGCCAUUGGUUCAAUUGAAGCAAUAGCCAAAGCAUCAAAGGAGACACUGCACAA
Ipomoea triloba (trilobed morning glory) is the source of this 285-nucleotide long non-coding RNA. RefSeq lists it as uncharacterized. The record is from RefSeq and is a predicted model, not a curated record. The transcript has 3 exons. NCBI's taxonomy places the organism in Eukaryota, Viridiplantae, Streptophyta, Magnoliopsida, Solanales, Convolvulaceae.